This 2085-nucleotide long non-coding RNA is filed under the name Hordeum vulgare. RNAcentral's name for it is "long non-coding RNA (HVUL_LNC006161)". The record is from RNAcentral. Lineage: Eukaryota; Viridiplantae; Streptophyta; Magnoliopsida; Poales; Poaceae.
GCUCUCCACCACUGAUGGACCGUGGCCAUUGCUCUUCCCCGGUCACCACGCCGUGUUUCAUCUCUGAGCCUCACUUCCACUACAUCAUGGAACAAUGAUAAAUAGUAACAUAGAACAAUUAUUCUAUGGUUUCAGGGUCAAAAAAUACAAGCGCCUACAUCAUGGAUGAAAAAAGUCAUGGAUAUUGGACAAGCUGGCACAACGCGCAUCCCAAGGACCAUGAAACUAAUGCUUUGGUUCAUGAGCCAGUCCUCAGCGCCUCUUGAUUUUUGGCUUCACUCUGGAUUCUGGAUUCAUCUUUGUUUGACACAUGUACGUGGAAACCCUCUUUCUUGUGUCCAUGGUGGAUGUUUUGUUGUUUUUUCUUUUCGUUACUGCUUGGAGCUGAAAAAGGAUAAAUCAGUUGUUGUUGUUCAUGAUAUGGUCAAGAUCUGGUUCGUGAAACUCUCAAGAAAAAAGGGUUCAUGUUUCAUUGUUCCUGGAUGAUUCAACUGAUUUCUUAAUUAGAUACAUUUUGUUUGUUCAUAAUAGUGACUAUGAUGAACUGGCUCAAUACCAAGAAAAACAAACAGCGGAAACUUCAUAUAAUACUUGUCGCUCUAGCUUAGUCAAACUGUUGUGAAUAACUUGAUCAUCCGCACAAGAAAAAGAUAUAAAAAAACAGAUAUACCAGAAUUUUGGGUAGCGUUAAUUUAAUAAAUAAUUUUUUCAAAAUACUUGAGAUAAAUUUAAGGCAACUUUUGUAAGUUGCCUAGAUAAAUUCAAUAAUCUGAUCCUGUUUCACAAAUUUAUUCAUGCUUCACAGAGUUUCCUCUUGGAUGUUUUUGGAGAACAGGUUAAAAAUCAGAAAGGCACAUGUACUAGUAAACUGGGGUUGCCAAACCGUCUGCGAGAUGGUUCAUACGAAUUUUCCUACAUACAUGUUUGAGGAAGGUUUGCAAACAUGUUUCAUUUAUUUUACUGGACAAAGUUAAUUGACCAUAUACCAAAGCAAAAUCAUUAAAAUAUGAAGUUUCAAUAUAUAUUAUUGAUAAUGUAUUUAGAAAUUAUAUAUAAAUAAAUAACCCUUUUUUUACUGAAUGAAGAAAAAAACUAGAAAUUUGACGGGUAAGAAUGCAACCGUGAGCACAAAAGUAAAGCCAACUAUUCAUGUCUAGACUAGGGAUCUGCUAUUCGAUCUGAAAUAGCUAAGAAUUUAUACAUUUUAUAUAAAGAAAAACUUUUUUCUUGAUGAGAAUAAAAAAAUUCUUAACUUUGGCGGAAAAAAAUGGAACCUUGAGCACAAAAGUAAAGCCAACUGUUCAUGUCUAACAAACUAGGGAUCUGAUAUUCGAUCUGCAAUAGCAAAGAACUGUAAAAGUUAGGCGCGCUUUCCUACAUUGUUGUUGUUUUUAUAUUUUUGUUAAAACAAAUAAUCGAUCUGUUUAAAAAUAUUUGGUUCAUUAGUUUUUUGAAAAUACAAUUUUUUUUAAGUUUGCCCAAAUUUGUAUUGAAACAUGUCAAUAUCCAUAAUAUCAAAUGGGUGUCAUUUGAUUCAUCAUGAUUGUUUUUCAUAUUUUAUUUAUUUAAUAUUACAGAUGUCGAUAUUUUUGGCUCUAAACUUGGCCAUAGUGAAAUAAAUAUGUCUUUUCAAAAAAUUAAAACAAAUUAUAUUUUGGAACUAAGGUGGUAUUUGAUUUGGCGAGUUGGGGAGAUGAUGGAGUGUCUUUUAUAUUUAUUUUACAAUGCGUUAUCUUAUUGGGUCUUUUGUGGUGUGUUUAUAGGUUAUCUACUAAUCAACCAUACUUAUAUGGGAAACAAUUAUGUGUAGGUGGUUGCAUGUACUUUCUCUAUUUUUAUAUACAAGGCCACAAACUGAAAUUACAGGUACCAAGGUCAAAUUUAAUACAUGUUUUACAAUCUAGCUUUUCUUUUUGUUUACUGGAAUCAUUAAUACACUGCAUGUAUGCAAGAACACUGAGUGGAGGAAGUAGUUGAGUGUUAUUAUGACUGUAUGCAUGCAAGUAUUAAACAAGUUGUUAGUUCGUGGAAACAUCAUUAAUUUUUGCCUCGAUUAUUGUUGGUGACCUUGUAUAGAUGCAAAAU